Molecule: ribosomal RNA, 305 nt
Filed under: uncultured bacterium
Lineage: Bacteria
Description: bacterial SSU rRNA
Rfam family: Bacterial small subunit ribosomal RNA
Source: RNAcentral
UAUCCUACGGGAGGCAGCAGUGGGGGAUAUUGCACAAUGGGGGAAACCCUGAUGCAGCGACGCCGCGUGUGGGAAGACGGUCCUCUGGAUUGUAAACCACUGUCCCCAGGGACGAAGAUGACGGUACCUGGGGAGGAAGCUCCGGCUAACUACGUGCCAGCAGCCGCGGUAAUACGUAGGAUGCGAGCGUUAUCCGGAUUUAUUGGGUUUAAAGGGUGCGUAGGCGGUCCGUUAAGUCGGCGGUAAAAUUGCGGGGCUCAACCCCGUCGAGCCGUUGAAACUGGCAGACUUGAGUUGGCGGGAAG